This 80-nucleotide non-coding RNA is filed under the name Paenibacillus sp. Its description in RNAcentral is "ZTP sequence". It matches the Rfam family "ZMP/ZTP riboswitch aptamer (pfl RNA motif)". From Rfam's summary of the family: Previously known as pfl RNA. ZMP is also known as AICAR. The record is from RNAcentral. RNAcentral also lists the same sequence under 1 other name. Lineage: Bacteria; Bacillati; Bacillota; Bacilli; Caryophanales; Paenibacillaceae.
AGACUCUAGUGUAACUGGCGACGAGAGUGGGAUACCACGAUGGAGCACUAGAGAUACGGCCGGUCGCCUGGGCAGAAGAG